RNAcentral lists this ribosomal RNA (253 nucleotides) under uncultured bacterium. Its description in RNAcentral is "partial 16S ribosomal RNA". It matches the Rfam family "Bacterial small subunit ribosomal RNA", at positions 524 to 776 of the family's 1533-position model. The record is from RNAcentral.
UACGAAGGGGGCUAGCGUUGUUCGGAAUUACUGGGCGUAAAGGGCGCGUAGGCGGUCCUUCAAGUCAGGCGUGAAAGCCCCAGGCUUAACCUGGGAACUGCAUUCGAGACUGCAUUGCUAGAGUAUGGGAGAGGGAAGUGGAAUUUCCGGUGUAGCGGUGAAAUGCGUAGAUAUCGGAAGGAACAUCAGUGGCGAAAGCGACUUCCUGGACCAAUACUGACGCUCAGGUGCGAAGGCGUGGGGAGCAAACAGG